This 495-nucleotide ribosomal RNA is filed under the name uncultured bacterium. RNAcentral describes it as "partial 16S ribosomal RNA". It matches the Rfam family "Bacterial small subunit ribosomal RNA", at positions 28 to 507 of the family's 1533-position model. The record is from RNAcentral.
GACGAACGCUGGCGGCGUGCCUAAUACAUGCAAGUAGAACGCUGAAGGAGGAGCUUGCUCUUCUGGAUGAGUUGCGAACGGGUGAGUAACGCGUAGGUAACCUGCCUGGUAGCGGGGGAUAACUAUUGGAAACGAUAGCUAAUACCGCAUAAGAGUAGAUGUUGCAUGACAUUUACUUAAAAGGUGCAAUUGCAUCACUACCAGAUGGACCUGCGUUGUAUUAGCUAGUUGGUGGGGUAACGGCUUACCAAGGCGACGAUACAUAGCCGACCUGAGAGGGUGAGCGGCCACCGGGGGCAGGAGACAGGGCCAAGACCCAUGGGGGAGGCAGCAGGGGGGAAUCUGGGGAAAGGGAGGGAAGUCUGACCGAGCAACGCCGGGGGAGGAAAGAAUGUUUUCGGAUGGUAAAGCUCUGUUGAAAGAGAAGAACGAGUGUGAGAGUGGAAAGUUCACCCUGGGACGGUAUCUAACCAGAAAGGGACGGCUAAGGAGGUG